RNAcentral lists this ribosomal RNA (482 nucleotides) under uncultured bacterium. Its description in RNAcentral is "partial 16S ribosomal RNA". It matches the Rfam family "Bacterial small subunit ribosomal RNA", at positions 30 to 507 of the family's 1533-position model. The record is from RNAcentral.
AUUGAACGCUGGCGGCAUGCUUUACACAUGCAAGUCGAACGGUAACAGGCCGCAAGGUGCUGACGAGUGGCGAACGGGUGGGUAAUGCAUCGGAACGUGCCCAGUCGUGGGGGAUAACUACUCGAAAGAGUAGCUAAUACCGCAUACGAUCUAUGGAUGAAAGCGGGGGACCGUAAGGCCUCGCGCGAUUGGAGCGGCCGAUGUCAGAUUAGGUAGUUGGUGGGGUAAAGGCUUACCAAGCCAACGAUCUGUAGCUGGUCUGAGAGGACGACCAGCCACACUGGAACUGAGACACGGCCCAGACUCCUACGGGAGGCAGCAGUGGGGAAUUUUGGACAAUGGGCGCAAGCCUGAUCGAGCAAUGCCGCGUGCAGGAAGAAGGCCUUCGGGUUGUAAACUGCUGUUGUACGGAACGAAACGGCUCUGGUUAAUACCCGGGGCUAAUGACGGUACCGUAAGAAUAAGCACCGGCUAACUACGUG